ACUUUUUCGUUCCCCCUUCCCCCAAAAUCCCAAAAUUUGACGAGAAAUCUUUCUUUUUUUUCCCUCCUUUCUUUUCCCAAAAUCGGUUCCCUCCCCCAUCCCUAAAGAAAUCCUAAAAUUUCACUUGAAAUUUCUUUUCUUUUUUUCCCUAUUUUAUUUUUCCCAAACCAUUUCUCCCCUACCCCGAUUCCCUUUAUUUUUCCCUCAAUUUCCUCAAAUCGGCAGCCCUCUGCAUCUCUGUCGAUAGCCUACAGCUGUAUCUCUGUCGACAUCUGCUGUCGGAAUUGUUAUUCUGGUUUCCUUGAUCCCUUUUCCCGUGAUUUGGGUCCAUGCAAUGGGAUUUCACAGUCCUUGGUUUUGGAUAAUGAGAAAAGUGAGCUGGUGGUGAAGUCGCCGGUGAAGGUUGGGAAAAAAAGCGUGGCGGAAGAGAAAGUUAUAGCGGCUUUAAAGAGUCAUAGCGAAGUUGAGAGGAGGAGGAGAGAAAGGAUUAAUGCUCACCUGGACACCCUCCGUACUCUCUUGCCAUAUAGAAAAAAGAGAAAGAGAAAUGGCUGGAAGUAAUGAAAUCAACCUCAACGAGUGCAAGCUAUUGGUUUCAAUUAGAUGAGGCUAACAUAUCCAACACCAGUGUAUAGAGGUAUCUUUGCCACGUUCCUCGCAGGUUCAAGACAGGUUUCAGGAAAGGUACUGAAGCAGCACCAAGAAAGAAGGUUGUAGCAGUUUCUGCUUAAAAGGCAAAUUGUAAUGGUAUGAGGUUUUGUUUUGGAUGAAGCCAUGUUUAUGAGGAAACAUUUAGUGAUGAAGAGUGAAAUUAUGUUCUAUUGGAUGCUUUAGUUGUUAUUUAGUUUCUAUUUGAAUGUAGCUGUCUUAUAUUUUGAACAAUUAUUGGAGCUAAUGUUUGACCCUUAA
Molecule: long non-coding RNA, 909 nt
Organism: Gossypium arboreum
Lineage: Eukaryota; Viridiplantae; Streptophyta; Magnoliopsida; Malvales; Malvaceae
Exons: 5
Source: RefSeq, a predicted model, not a curated record